GAAUCUCAAUAUUACUUGCAGCCUUUGAUCGUCGAUAGCUAUCGUUUCGAUGUGCUCGAUGCAUUUAAGAAUUCUUGAAUGCAUUUGAGUGUGAUUCGUUGCAGUUAAUUGUAUUAAAUGAAAGUUAAAAAAAAUUUAGGUACAGAAAGAAAUAAUCUCAAAAUUUGGAGCAGUCAUCUUAUAUUGCAGUGUUGUGUUCCUGAGUAAGAAAGCCAGAGCUUCUGGGGAUGCCCUAUGUUAACAGUGGGGAUAGGGUCGGCAGCACGCUUGUGAUCUCCUGGUGUAGCAUGCGCCAUCUGACUACGAUAACCGCUUACCAUCAGGUGCUACGUACAAUUAUGAAAUGAAUAAUUUACUUGUUUAUUGUUGUAACAGUGAUUUAAAUGUUUGACUAAAUUAUAUUGUUAUACAUUUAUUGUACUAUUGUUUCAUUAAAUAAAUAAAAAAA
This 448-nucleotide unclassified non-coding RNA is filed under the name Melitaea cinxia (Glanville fritillary). RNAcentral's name for it is "misc RNA ENSMCXG00005021297.1". The record is from RNAcentral. Lineage: Eukaryota; Metazoa; Arthropoda; Insecta; Lepidoptera; Nymphalidae.